This is a long non-coding RNA of Pyrus x bretschneideri (Chinese white pear), 1340 nucleotides long. RefSeq lists it as uncharacterized. The transcript has 2 exons. Lineage: Eukaryota; Viridiplantae; Streptophyta; Magnoliopsida; Rosales; Rosaceae. The record is from RefSeq and is a predicted model, not a curated record.
GCGCCAUCACCUACACCUUCAGGACCCCCACUGCCCACCUCUUCACCGACGCUGCCUUCAUCAGCAGUGUUACACCUUGGCACUGCACAAGAUCCACCUUCCCGUGCAUUAAUUCCUACUGUGCAGCCUGUUUUGCCUUCCACCGACCCACUACCAUCUACAGUAGUUCAGGCCCCACCUCUUGGCCCACACAUGGGGUCCAAAUCAGGGAUAUUCAAACCCAAAGUUAGGUCCUAUUUUGCCUCUCGCCACCCACUUCCUCAAGCUUUUACGGCGCUGGUAGAGGAGGAUUCUGAACCUUCUUGCUACAGCCAAGCAUCCCGCUCUCCCUCGUGGCGACAGGCCAUGGUAGAUGAAUUUAAUGCCCUACUUAAAUAACAGACGUGGUCUCUUGUCGCUCAUGUACCUCAUGCCAACACCGUUGCUUGUAAAUGGGUCUUCAAGUUGAAGUGCAAUUCCGAUGGUUCGAUUGAGCAUCAUAAGGCACGUCUCGUUGCCAAAGUCUUCCAUCAGCAGGUUGGUGUUGAUUUUUCAGAGACUUUUAGUCCCGUGGUAAAACCGACAACGAUUCGUACCGUUCUUAGUCUUGCUAUCUCCUUUGGGUGGCCCUUCAUCAACUUAAUGUGAAGAAUGCUUUUCUUCAUAGUUCCUUGAUGGAGGAAGUUUACAUGACUCGGCCACCUGGAUUUGUCGAUCCGAAUCGUCCUAAUUAUGUCCGUAAGCUUAACAAGGCAAUAUAUGGACUUAAGCAAGCCUCCCGUGCUUGGUUUCAGCGUCUUAGCUCCUUCUUGAUUCACUCCGGGUUUCUCCAAAGCUUCCGGGUUCUAUAAUUCUGGUGUUCCUUCUCUAAGUGGAUGAUAUUGUUGGAAAUUCAAAUCAAAACAGGUUGUAAAAUAUUGCUGCUAGCUGUUUGUUUCUUUCCAGCUACAAAGAACAAAGUCUCCUUCAUGUGCUAGCCGAAAGGUGUUGAAAGACAGCAAGGAAUGAUGCAGAGCAUGUGUGUAAAAGUGUCUAGCAGCUGGUGCAUAUGUGAAAGGGUGUAAAGAUGGUAAUCACCAUCUGUCGUUGCAUGUGUGUGCGCCAGAUUGUUCUAAUCUGUUUGAAUGAUUGUAUGUGUUGUUGUAUUUUUUUAUUUAAAGCACUUGAGUGGUUCUUUGCUGUUUGGCUUGUAUAAAUAAGCCUCCUUGCUAGGCUUUAGCAUCAUCCCAUCCGAAUCCCAUUUUCUGAUUGUAUUCUCUCAGGUUCAUAAGCUUGUAAGCUUCUGUCUUUUUUCAUCAGUUUGUAAACUGCCUUUUAUUUCAUAUAUCAAGAAAGCUUGUUUCGUGGAAGCUUGUUAUUUC